RNAcentral lists this transfer RNA (74 nucleotides) under Centropyge flavicauda (whitetail angelfish). RNAcentral describes it as "tRNA-Trp". It matches the Rfam family "tRNA". Rfam says of the family: Transfer RNA (tRNA) molecules are approximately 80 nucleotides in length. Lineage: Eukaryota; Metazoa; Chordata; Actinopteri; Pomacanthidae. The record is from RNAcentral. RNAcentral also lists the same sequence under 1 other name.
AGUGACUUAGGUUAGACAGCCUAGACCAAGAGCCUUCAAAGCUCUCAGCGGAGGUGAAAGCCCUCCAGUCGCUG